This is a long non-coding RNA of Phyllopteryx taeniolatus (common seadragon), 8038 nucleotides long. RefSeq lists it as uncharacterized. The transcript is spliced from 2 exons. NCBI's taxonomy places the organism in Eukaryota, Metazoa, Chordata, Actinopteri, Syngnathiformes, Syngnathidae. The record is from RefSeq and is a predicted model, not a curated record.
UUUAUUUCGGGUUAAUCAGAGGUUUAAAUGGUGGCAGGUGCACGCUGACUCCCAUUCAACUUGAGUUUGAUUGUGAUUCUGAACCACCACAUCCCAGUUAUGAAAGGGUGUGCACACAUGUGCAACUACAUUAUUUCAGUUAUUUAUUUUUACCUGAGCUGUACAGGUUAUAGGUCACAUUCAUGGUGGGAAUGAUUUGGAAAUUAUUUAUCUUGGUCUCAUUUUUUACAUCACAAAUCCUGGUAUUAGAACAGGGGUGUGUCGACUUUUUAUAUACACAGUAUAAUUGUGAUGGGAAUAUUAUACAACUGAUUUAUAUAAUGUACUUUUUUCUCAUCCAUUCUCUUGAAAGAAAAAAAAACUAUUCCCAUGACUUUACCACAUUUUUCUACAAAAAAAUCAUAUACUCAUUUGUAUUUCUUUUUAGUGUCUCUUAAACUCCUUCAUAAUGAAUCCAAUUAUAUUUUUGUUAUUUUAAAAUGUAAAUAUCUUUAAAAUACAAUGGUAUGGGGCAUAUUUAUAACCCCUGAUGAUAAAGCAUAUGUUCAAUAAAUCGAUAGUCUCCACACAAUGUGAUUGUUGUUAAAAAUAAACACAAAAUUGAAAGUAGCACAUUUAAAAAAAAAAAAAAAUGUUUUUAACGAAUAGGGGAGAAAAAAAUGAUUUUGAAUGAAUAAGGACAUGAAGUGAUAAGCUGGAAAUAGGAGAGAUUUUUCCUUUAAGCUAUUUUCUCCCAGAAUUCUCCACUGGGGACAGUCCACAGUCCAGUACGCACACCCUCUUUUUCCCCAGCUGUGUCUUUCCAAUGUUUUCACAACGUGCUUUCAAGUUGUCCUGUCAAAAUAAUCUGCAUAUUAUAAGCAGUUUUUUCUGCAUUAAUAGGCUACCACCAACGCAUAAGUUAUUUUUGUCAAUCCUAUGACAGCCGUGUUGUUAUUCUAACAAUCAUCGAUGGGCAACACAUGGCAUUCAUUUGUUUUGAAACGAAGCCAUGAAAGGUUGAUGAUUCUGGCUACAAGACAUGUUUCAACCGUGUGAACGGCCAUCCCAUGUCUUAAAGUCCACAGUGUUGUUCAACAUGUCCAUCAUUUCCUCAAGCAUCUGUUGGAAAUCUGGUGGUUCUCUAAAGUAGAGGAAAUCAGCAGAAAUAACAAUUAAAAUACCCGCUUAAAGUGUAAUUCACUAAUUCAAUGCCUAAACCUUUUUUUCUUUUUGAGAAUCAUACAAUCAAUGGAUGGAUGGAAUUUAAUUUCAAAAUAAUAAUGCCAGUCUGCCCAGUUAACAUGGAUAUUUGACUUCUACAGCCGUCAAUGGCAGUGAAUGUGAUAAAAAACAUACAGUGGACAUUGAAUGCCUUAAAGGUAAUUUGGACAACAUUCAUCCAUCCAUUUGUCGAUAGCGUUUGUCCUCAAUAAUGUCAUAGGUUGAGAUGGACCCCAUCCCAGAUGACUUAAUAACAACUGAUUAGUUACCAACAUUUACACAGUUAAAAUUGCACUUCCUGAAUGAUAAUAAUAAUGAUAAUGAAACACAAAAGUGCACCAAUUCUGAUAUCAGAAGUAGCUGACUUAGAGAUUGAUGCAUGGUAACUUUCGCUAAUUAACAAAGUAUACUUGUGUGUCGCUACUCAGUUUGUCAUUGAUGCACGCAGCCGAACCAAAUGAAUAUUUCGGCACACAUGCCAAUGACUGAGUCACACCCUCUGCAUCCAGUAACCGGGACGUCACCGCUUAUGUGCAAGCCACCUGAACUAGACCGCUCGAAUGAAAAAUGAACGCAAAAGUAAUAAAGGCUUAAGGCUUAGGUAACUAGUUUACACGAGUGGCCGACCGUCAUCACUAGUUUCCUACAGUAGCAACGUCCUCAACCAAGGAACAAGCCCCUCAAGAAUGGUCACAUGCAGUUAUAAUUUCACCAAAGCAUGCUAUUAUUAUUGUCUAUGGCUGAGGGAGCAAAGCAACGCUGAGUGAAUGACACACCUGCACGAGUAUAUUUUGGGUAAAAGCGCCUCCAGUUCUCAGGAAAAAAAUAAGAACUGCCAUGUAAAACAGUAUUUUGACUUAUAGUCUCUAUGCAAAGUGACAGUGAAGUGGGGGGGACGACGACGACGACAGAUCAUUCACCAAGACCAUUGCCAAAGAGUUCAGUCUGUGUAUGUGUGUCAAUGGAGGGAAUAUUAUUACUGUAAAAAGAGGUCAUCUUUUAAUUGCAUCUGUUCUCUGCUAUGUGCCGUUAAUACUCUUAGUCAUCUCUCAAGAAUCUGUGGUGAAUGUUUUUGCUCCUGAAGCAGUUUUGGCAAACCACAACAUUCUUUGGAAUCCCACCCCCACCAAGCGAUUAACUGCACCCAACAAAGACAAUGUACCUGUUUUGAAAGUGGCUCAAGAAGUUGGAAUUCAAUAAGGCACCACAAUCUCAAGAGUCUUUUCUCGACGAAUAGAAUCGGCAUUUCUUUUUUUGAAGGUUUUGAGAUAUAUGUACAGGUAGCUGCCAUUGGUGGGAAGUAAUGAGUACAAAUGCUUUGUUACUAUAAUUAAGGAGAUUUUUUUUUUUUUUUUUUUAAGGUAUGUGGACUUCAUUGAGUAUUUUUUCCUGAUGAUUUUUUAAUCUCUAUAUUUGAAACAAGAUACCUGUAUUUUCUACUUUUUACUUUGACAAAAUACACUUGUUGCAUGGAUGAAGACACAUCAAAAAGACAUGAAAUCUUGAUUGAGACCUUGGGCUCAGGUAAGGCAGCGACAUGGAGGAACGUGAACCAGGGAGCAUUAACAAUAACGGUGACUGAUUUGCAGACGGAAAAUAUUCUCAUUCAUGGCCUCAUUUAAGAGAAUUGUUUGAUGUUGUUGGUAACAAGAAUGAUUUUUGUCAAAUGUAUUGUUUUGUGCCAGCUCUUCAAAAAUUAUCGGUUUAAUCCAAAAAAAUACAUACUGGUGAGGUGUAUUUUUUUUCUGUAGUCAUCAUUGGCUAAUUUAUCUUUUUUUUUAUUUUUUAUUUUUUUUUUGCUAGCCGGUUCACAUAGCAAGGCUAUGGGAACACUAAGCACUUAAAACAACAACAUGCCAAUCCAACAAUGAAUUCUGCUUCACAAAGAUAGUAAGAAAGACCCCGCAUCGAACGAUCCAAACGCGAGGUCGAACGCUUGGCCAUCACAAGCCACAACGCGCCACGUUAUCGCUGAGGAUCAAUCAGAGCAAAGCUGUUUUACAUACCUAAAUUGAAAUAAGGGAUCGAUUCAGAGCAAUGCUUCCUUACAUAUCGUAUAUUAAUGAGAAAUCCGGCUCUCUCAACUGCCAGGCGAAAAAGGCCAACUAGAAUAGCAGAGUAAAAGGAUAUUCUGGGCAUUUUCAACCCAAAUUAUCUUGCAUAUAUUUACUGUUGAGAGGCUGAAAUUCCAAGGAUUUUGACUAUUUUGAGUUAAACAAUGGCUGUAAACGAUUAAUCGACUAUCAAAAUAAUUGUCGAUUCAUUUAAUAAUUGAUUAGUUGUCAAUUAAUCGAUCAGUUGUUGCAUCUUUAAUCGAGAUCAGCGAUAUUUGGAUUGAUCCGCCCACCAUUACUUGCAGCUUCAUGUUCCAAAUCUUCAUCCAAUCAAGCCCAGCCUCGGCGCCGCAUCCCGAGGCCUCCGCACCUUUCCCCUGCCUUGUGCACCAGGGAUCCACGCCCCGGAGCUACUCCAGUAGGAUCAGUCCAACGCAUGCAAACAUGCAGACACGCCUUAUCUGCGCUGCAUUUGUGCCAGAAACUCAACACACUCACACAUUUUUCACAAAAAAAAAAAAAAAAAAAAAAAAAAAAAAAAAGCCAAACCAGUGCACUCUUACCAACUUCCAUAUGCCACAUUGAGAAAAAAACAAAAAACAAACUGUUCACAAUAAGUUAAUGUGGCCCACAUGGGUCCAAUGAAAACCGCUGUCAGUGUGAACAAUGCUGGCAGCUGCACACCUCCAGCACAGGGGACAUGUUAACAGCAAUAGUCGGAGGAACCGGCCAACUCACACACACGGACCUGUCCCCUCUCUGUUUGUUAAAUGGACUAUGAGGCGCUUCACAGCACUUGCAACACGCCUGCUCUUAAAUGAACACGUAUGAUGCAGGGCGAUAACAGCUGAUCCCUGUUGAAAGCUCAUGUUCACACGAUGCCACUCGAGUCACCCCGUGAGCUGCCGGUGCUUCCGCUCCUUGGGCUCGAUAUGAGUCAGGCGACGGCAGCAAACGCGGGAGCGGGUGAUGUUUCAGAUGCAAACGGUCGACGGAUUCGCUCCGUGUGGCGUGCUGCAUCGCUCAACCUGUUCUUCAGGAUCCCCCACAGGCCCAAAACACAUAAUUCACCACAGAGAGCUCGACUUCAAAAAGGUAUGCAGCGCCUGCUAACAGCUCCAGAUUCACUUUUAGAACUUAAACUGGAAACCUGUCGCCCACUUUGGAGUCAAUCCAAAUUUGAGGUCAGCGUAUCUGGUGAAACUUUUGCUUAGUAAGAGCUUUUUAAUUGGUCUCAACUUGGGACCCACAACCAGGUCUAACCAAGCAAAUGUCGAUCCAUCCAUUAUUAUUAUUAUUUUUUUUUAUAGUGGUUGUCCUAUUAGGGUUACAUGUGAGCUGGACCCUGCCCAAGCUGACUUUGGGCUGGAGGCGGGGUACACCCAGGUAAUCUCAGGACAAACAUUCAAACUGACAUUAACACCAGUGGAAAAUCACUGUACUUGUACUAAGAUUGGCAUAUUACAGCAAUCAAACAGAAAAACAGUGGGUCAAACAAAUUUUUGUCAUGGGCCACAUUGUGACUUCACUCCCAGGGCUUAUACAACAAAUUGAUAGAUAACUAGUUUUGAAAUCAGACACCUAUAAACACACGUUUUCAACUAAUAUCUGCAAUUUUGAUAUUUUCAGUCGACGCACAUCAUUUGCUUUCACGCGCCACAUAAAACGAUGUGGAGGGCCAGAUCUGGCCCGCGGGCCACGAGUUGGACACCAGUGCAGUAAGGUCUCUUGACUCUUUUUGCCUUAAUAAAAACUAUGUUGAUGCUGUGACAUGCUGCCAGACUACAGUUUCGGCUGGGUUUUGCAAGGUAAUGAAAUCUCCAGUUACAGCGUCAAUCCCUGUGGCCCACAGCAACACUUGACCCCAACAAACACACACACACACACACAGGAGGAGUCCCCCCACAUCGCCUUGUAUCAUCGCAUCUGUUUCCUCCCCCCUCCCCCCCCCAAUGCUCAUUGCAUGUAGCAGACGGUUUUGCCAUCCUCGUCCCAAAAUAGGCAGCCGCUAGCACAGCCAGGUCAGAUGGUUUUGAAACAUCGAUGGCAAGCGGAAGAGGGGAGGGGGCGCUCCUCAGAGAGGUGGGCUCGAGUGGAGGCUUCGUUCACACCAGGGUGACAGCGAGUGCUAGGGAACAAAAGUCGAGGGUAUUUGCCUCCGCACGCAACAGGUGGCGGGUCUUUUCCUUCACGGCGUUUUCACACAGGGGUAUUAGUUUGGGGGGGGGGGGGGGGGGGGUGGCAUGGGCUUCGCUAUUUGCAAGUUUGUUACAACUCGAGUCAACAUGAUGUCAGAAGAACUUUGUCGGACACAGGUGUUCAACUCAAGGCCUGGGGGCAGAUGUGGCCAGCUGAAGCAAAUCAUGUGCAUCUACUUCAUGCUUUUUGCUAUAAUCUGUACUAAAAUUUUAAAAAGUCUUAAUUUUUAUAACUUUGAGAUAUUGGAAGAAUGUUUUUUUUUUUUUGUCACCAAACCCUUUUUUAAAAUGAAUUGAACAAUAGUUGAUACUGUGUGGCCUGCUAAAGCAAAAAUAUUAGUGUCUACUACGUCCUGCUCCUUGAAGGACUCUUCCGCGAUCUAGCAACCCUUUAUUGCUCAGUGACUGUUUUUCUCAAUGUCUUUAUGUCUCAAAAGUGUCCAAUUGACUGUGUUGUCAUACUAGAGUGGCUCCAACUCCCGGAGACAAAUUCCUUGUGUGUUUUUGGACAUACUUGGCAAAUAAAGAUGAUUCUGAUUCUGAUCUUCCGCAGCACCGUCAAGGCCAUCAUGAUGACAGCCACGUCUUCAAAUCGGGUCCCCUUAUAUCCAUAUGGUAGCCACAAUUUAGUAUUUUGUGCGCACAUUAUACCUCAUUUGUGGCCACAUAUACAUAUCUGUGGCCAUUUUUUUUUCCUACAACGCUGCAUUCCAUAAACUUGGGAAAGCUGCAAUUUCAGAACUCACACGAGGAAAAGAGCAUUGAAACAGUCCUCAAAGUCAAUGUUGGAAGCCCACAGAUGUGCCCUUAGAGACUACGCACAACAAAACUUUAAGUGUAUUUCCCGGUUACACGACAUAUCGCCACAGCACGACACAACACAACACAAAACAACCCAUUAUCCAUAAAAGUUUUGAAAAGUACAUUCUUUUAGUGAUUGCUAAGUUAUAUUUAUCCAUUUUCUAUAACGCUUGCCCUCACUAUGUUUGCAUUAUCAUUAUGCCAUUAUGCCUGACUCUGUGGACUGUUUCUAGUUUUUGUAUUUAUUUAGAUUAUGCAAGGCGUAAGUCGUCAACUCCAGCUUGAAAGGUGCUUUUAUGUCAUUGAUAAAACAGUUAGCUCAGGGGUAAUGAGAUAAUUGUUAUUCCUACUUCCAGUGUCUCUUUCAAAGGCUUUUAGAUUGAUCACAGAAUCAGCCUGCAGUUCCACUUGCAGCCUCCUAAUGACUUAACCACACAACUCUUUAACCAUCCUCAAGGCUACCAACCACUGCGAGAACGCAACUCGUCUUCAUCAGCAGGAUUUCCGCCUUCUGCUGCAGCGGGUGAGACCAAACCAAAGUGCAUGGAAGUCACCAGCGUGGUGCCGUUGACGGGAAAAAAAAAACGAAACGCCGGGAGCAAACCUCAUCAGGCUUUCACACCACAUUACUGCAGCCAAGGCAUGUGUGAGGAAAAAGUAUAUAUACAAGCAAAAUGCAUUAAGAAACCAAAUCUACUUAAGCAUAAUAAGACAUCCGUCCUCAUACAAGGCGCCACUUACUUUUUCAUCCCGCAUGACACAUGGUUACAAUCCCUCCUUGGCCUUUUACCAAGCAUCCUCGCGACAAGAAUUUAUGCAUUUGACUGACUUGUUUUCCCCAGCAACAUCACUCAUUGUGCUCAAGUGCCAGAAAAGGAAAUCAUACACCGGAUCUAUUCUCAAAGUCAUUUAAUGUUGUGUGGAUUUGUUUCCUCUCUUACAGUUUAUUGUGUGUAUCAUUAUGACAAACACUACAUGAGCAGGAGAAAAAGUAGCAAUGCACAAUAAAAGCUUCUGACAUGGCAAAGUUGAACUGGGAGCAGUAGAAAUAAAGUCUUGUUUGGAUUACAGUACAGUGGAACCUCGAUUUAAUGGACUUUAGAUUUUAACGGACAGAAAAUAGUGUACAGUUAGAACUCAAAAUCACCCCUCCCAUAUACCAGCGAGGUAAGUUUGGACAAACUUGAAAACUUUUCAAACAUUUUAAAGCUUUUUUUUUUUUUUUUUUUUAACAAUAAUUUUGUAUUGCAAUGGGUGUUUUUAGGCCAAAAAAGUGCUUCAAUUUAAGGGACAAUCGGAUUUAACGGACAACCCCUGCCCACCCUAUUAGUCUGUUAAAUCAAGGUUUCAGUGUACUUUUACUUUAAAGACAAAAUGUUUUGUGGGGGUGGUUGUCCUGUCUCAUGCAAAUGAGCCACUGCUCCCCGAAUCAACUUGUUCAAGAGUGAACAAGUUGGAGAGUGACGGAUACAAAACGAUGUUACUGACUGGUUACUUCAGAACUUCAUAUCACUUCACGCUUCUUGUUGUAUGCUGGUACAUGAACUGACUGAGGUCGUUUUUCUUUUUUUCUGGCUAUGUAAAAUUAUUUGUUUGCUAUUUUUUUAAAAAGGUGAUGCUAAUCUAUGCAUUAUACAACACUGCAGCUCUGCUAAAAUAAGGUUUGAUAUAAAAGUGGUUCUGUGUAGUCCACAAAAAAAUUACGUUGUGCAAUUCCACACUAAAAAGGUGCGCAUGUACUCCAGAGACCAAAGCAAUUAAAAAGUUAUGUUUCUCUUGAAA